UCACUAUUUGGGACAGCAAGGUGGCUCA
RNAcentral lists this non-coding RNA (28 nucleotides) under Mus musculus (house mouse). Lineage: Eukaryota; Metazoa; Chordata; Mammalia; Rodentia; Muridae. The record is from RNAcentral.